Molecule: ribosomal RNA, 366 nt
Filed under: Vibrio parahaemolyticus
Lineage: Bacteria; Pseudomonadati; Pseudomonadota; Gammaproteobacteria; Vibrionales; Vibrionaceae
Description: bacterial SSU rRNA
Rfam family: Bacterial small subunit ribosomal RNA
Source: RNAcentral
AACUCUGAGACAGGUGCUGCAUGGCUGUCGUCAGCUCGUGUUGUGAAAUGUUGGGUUAAGUCCCGCAACGAGCGCAACCCUUAUCCUUGUUUGCCAGCGAGUAAUGUCGGGAACUCCAGGGAGACUGCCGGUGAUAAACCGGAGGAAGGUGGGGACGACGUCAAGUCAUCAUGGCCCUUACGAGUAGGGCUACACACGUGCUACAAUGGCGCAUACAGAGGGCUGCCAACUUGCGAAAGUGAGCGAAUCCCAAAAAGUGCGUCGUAGUCCGGAUUGGAGUCUGCAACUCGACUCCAUGAAGUCGGAAUCGCUAGUAAUCGUGGAUCAGAAUGCCACGGUGAAUCACGUUCCCGGGCCUUGUACCAC